AACGAACGCUGGCGGCAUGCCUAACACAUGCAAGUCGAACGAGACCUUCGGGUCUAGUGGCGCACGGGUGCGUAACGCGUGGGAACCUGCCCUUAGGUUCGGAAUAACUCCCCGAAAGGGGUGCUAAUACCGGAUAAUGUCUUCGGACCAAAGAUUUAUCGCCUUUGGAUGGGCCCGCGUUGGAUUAGCUAGUUGGUAGGGUAAAAGCCUACCAAGGCGACGAUCCAUAGCUGGUCUGAGAGGAUGAUCAGCCACACUGGGACGGGGACACGGCCCAGACUCUUGCGGGAUGGAGCAGAGGGUAAUAUAGGACAGUGGGCGGAAGGCUGAUCCAGUAAGGGCGGGUGAGUGAUGAAGUACUGAGGGUUGUAAAUCUCGUUUACCCGGGAUGAUAAUGACAGUACCGGGAGAAUAAGCACCGGCUAACUCCGUG
RNAcentral lists this ribosomal RNA (433 nucleotides) under uncultured bacterium. RNAcentral's name for it is "partial 16S ribosomal RNA". It matches the Rfam family "Bacterial small subunit ribosomal RNA", at positions 29 to 507 of the family's 1533-position model. The record is from RNAcentral.